GAAGUCUGUGGAUGUUGCAGCCCUCAUUGCAGGUGAAUUGAGAAAGAUAGUGCUAAGCGGAACCAAUUUCGGGGGCAAAGCUGGUGUGCUAGCCUAUCCAGGACUUAUCAUGGGACUGUGCCGUAAGGCAAAUGUUCCCAUCCCUGAGGAAGUACACUUCUCGAUCACCAGUGUGAUCAGUGACUCUUAUUUGAACAGGUUUCUGCAAACCCAAAAUGAUAAAACUGCUGCACCCGGUACUUCUUC
This 246-nucleotide long non-coding RNA is filed under the name Lathyrus oleraceus (garden pea). RNAcentral's name for it is "Pisum sativum (pea) long non-coding RNA (PSAT_LNC027182)". Lineage: Eukaryota; Viridiplantae; Streptophyta; Magnoliopsida; Fabales; Fabaceae. The record is from RNAcentral.